This is a non-coding RNA of Phalacrocorax carbo (great cormorant), 1194 nucleotides long. The record is from RefSeq and is a predicted model, not a curated record. NCBI's taxonomy places the organism in Eukaryota, Metazoa, Chordata, Aves, Suliformes, Phalacrocoracidae.
AGGUGUCUCUUCUGUUCUGUGAGAGCGCACAGUGUCCUGUCACUAACUCUAAAUGGUGUAUAUUGUAUUACGUGGAGCAUGCAAGAACGAAGAUGAAAUUCAAUUCCAAACAUAACUCAACUAUGCAGGAUGCAAGUCCCAUGUGAAGUUGGACGUAGCCUUUUUAUGAUUCUCAUGCAUCAGGGUGGAUGUGUUGAACUGCUUGGAAGGAGACUUGUCCAAGUUACAUCUGUCUUUAAGUUGGCAGUGAAGAGUAAAUAAAGGUUACUGGUUAAUGACACUGCUCACCAGAUACUGUGGACAAGUGAUUUAAGAUACAGUGGCUUCUUGGAGCACAAGUGUUUGUGGGAGACAUCACUGUGACUUAAGUGGUCAGCAUUUAAAUUCUGUCCCAGUCCUGUAUUUUCUGGCUUCCAUGAUGAUUUCAGUAUUAUUUAAAUUCUGUUUGCUUCUUAUUGGUUGUGGUGUUGGUUUGUUUUUAAUUACGAAUUGCAUAUUUAUCAACUAAAUAAUUCUGAAAGAAUAUUUCAGCAUUAAUUAUCUCAAACUAUUGCAAAACAUAGCAUGAGUCAGAGCUAAACAUCCUAUGAAAACUUUAAAAGUUUGAAGGACAGAGCAAAUUAAAUAUUUGCCAAGUCUAAAAAGCCUUUGUCAACCAUGUAAGAAAUGCUGGCAUGUCCAGGACAAAAUGAGGCAUUCUUUUUCCCUCCCCACAUUUCUCCACCCUACUCAACUGGUUUGUUUUGAAAAUUUGAUUACUUCCCCCCCCCAGUGAAUUUCAAAGUAAAGACUUCAGUGUUCUUCUCCUAUUAACAUCCCUUUCUUGCCCAAACCACAGCAUGGUUGCAGCCCAAGAAUAGGAACAAAUUGCAUAGAUAGGAUAAAAGGAAAAAAACCCAACUUAGAUAAACUAUUACAAUGUUCUCAUGUUUUCCUAGACAUUUUAAACCACAAUAAGGAAUUACUGUGCUGGCCAGCAAAAUAAUAUCCUAUUAAAAUCCAUAUUAGAAGCCAUAUAGACAGUGAAUAAUGUAGCUAUUCUGAAUGCUGCCAAAGAGCUCUCAUGUGAUCCAGGCUUCAUCACAUUUGAUCUUUUUCCAUUCUCUCUAUAUACCAUUGUCUUCAAUUCAUACAAGUACAUCAGGAUAGCAAUCCCAAAUCCAUGGCUUAUGGAUAACAUCCCUCAAACUUUCU